GAAGAGAUAUUGCUUUUGACAUUUCAUUUUGAAGCUUUUCUUCCAUAGAAGGUGUCAAUCUUGUAAGCCACUGACUAGAAUCAACACGCCUUGUAUAAUUCAGUUCCAUCAUCCUCCCUCGCAAGGCAUCAACCAUCUGAGUAAUUGGAAACUCACUGACAUCGGAUACCCAAUCACGAAAAAGUUGUCCAAAGUCAGAAGUCAUGUGGUCAUACCUUGCCCCACCAAAAAAGGCGUUUGCCCAGUGAUCAGGCUCACUUCGUACGACCCAACUGUAAGCAUCAGGUGAGAUGGCCUUUAUGUUCUCAACACACUGCUCAAAAUCCUCCAGUUUUGGAGCAUAAGCAGCAGCAUAUAAAUCUUGGAUCAAAAGACGCCUUGCUUCAUGUGAAAACUUCCCAUGCAGAUCCUUAUAUAAAUUCUCACCGAGGUACCGAAGACAAUAACCAUGAUAGCAAUCUUUGCUGAAUAUAUCACUCAAUGACUCAUUGAUACCAUUCUGGAAAGCAGAAACAAAUGUUAUUGGUCGAGAGGUUGAGACAGCAGAUUUAAGUUCAGAAAGAAACCAAUGCCAGUUGUCAUCUGUCUCCUCAUCUACAACUGCAAAAGCUACUGGAAAGACACCAUCAUUCCCAUCCACACCCACGGCAGCCAAUAGGGUUCCUUGAUAUUUUGCAUAGAGAACAGUGCUAUCAAGGAAAAGAAGCGGGCGACAGCCCUGUUGAAAGCCAUAUAUUGAAGCAUGAAAUGAGACAA
Molecule: long non-coding RNA, 756 nt
Filed under: Solanum pimpinellifolium
Lineage: Eukaryota; Viridiplantae; Streptophyta; Magnoliopsida; Solanales; Solanaceae
Description: long non-coding RNA (SPIM_LNC000110)
Source: RNAcentral